Molecule: ribosomal RNA, 441 nt
Filed under: uncultured bacterium
Lineage: Bacteria
Description: partial 16S ribosomal RNA
Rfam family: Bacterial small subunit ribosomal RNA
Source: RNAcentral
CCUACGGGAGACUGCAGUGGGGAAUAUUGCACAAUGGGGGGAACCCUGAUGCAGCGACGCCGCGUGGGUGAAGGAGUAUUUCGGUAUGUAAAGCCCUAUCAGCAGGGAAGAACAAUGACGGUACCUGACUAAGAAGCACCGGCUAAAUACGUGCCAGCAGCCGCGGUAAUACGUAUGGUGCAAGCGUUAUCCGGAUUUACUGGGUGUAAAGGGAGCGCAGGCGGCGCGUUAAGCCUGGUGUGAAAGUCCGCGGCCCAACCGCGGGACUGCAUUGGGAACUGGCGCGCUGGAGUGCCGGAGGGGUAGGCGGAAUUCCUAGUGUAGCGGUGAAAUGCGUAGAUAUUAGGAGGAACACCAGUGGCGAAGGCGGCCUACUGGACGGUGACUGACGCUGAGGCUCGAAAGCGUGGGGAGCAAACAGGAUUAGAUACCCCGGUAGUC